Molecule: ribosomal RNA, 352 nt
Filed under: uncultured bacterium
Lineage: Bacteria
Description: bacterial SSU rRNA
Rfam family: Bacterial small subunit ribosomal RNA
Source: RNAcentral
GGACCCGCACAAGCAGUGGAGCAUGUGGUUUAAUUCGACGCAACGCGAAGAACCUUACCAGCGUUUGACAUGGGAAGUACCGGUUACAGAAUGGUAACCUUCAGUUCGGCUGGCUUCCGCACAGGUGCUGCAUGGCUGUCGUCAGCUCGUGUCGUGAGAUGUUGGUUAAGUCCCGCAACGAGCGCAACCCUUAUCGUUAGUUACUAACAGUUCGGCUGAGGACUCUAGCGAAACUGCCGGUGAUAAGCCGGAGGAAGGUGGGGAUGACGUCAAGUCCUCAUGGCCCUUACACGCUGGGCUACACACGUGCUACAAUGGCCGGUACAGAGAGCAGCCACUACGCGAGUAGGAG